This 253-nucleotide ribosomal RNA is filed under the name uncultured bacterium. RNAcentral's name for it is "partial 16S ribosomal RNA". It matches the Rfam family "Bacterial small subunit ribosomal RNA", at positions 524 to 776 of the family's 1533-position model. The record is from RNAcentral.
UACGAAGGGGGCUAGCGUUGUUCGGAUUUACUGGGCGUAAAGGGCCAGUAGGCGGCCAACUAAGUCCGACGUGAAAUCCCCAGGCUUAACCUGGGAACUGCGUCGGAUACUGGAUGGCUUGAAUUCGGGAGAGGGAUGCAGAAUUCCAGGUGUAGCGGUGAAAUGCGUAGAUAUCUGGAGGAAUACCGGUGGCGAAGGCAGCAUCCUGGACCGACAUUGACGCUGAACGGCGAAAGCUAGGGGAGCAAACGGG